UGGGGAAUUUUGGACAAUGGGGGAAACCCUGAUCCAGCCAUCCCGCGUGUGCGAUGAAGGCCUUCGGGUUGUAAAGCACUUUUGGCAGGAAAGAAACGUCGCGGGUUAAUACCCCGCGGAACUGACGGUACCUGCAGAAUAAGCACCGGCUAACUACGUGCCAGCAGCCGCGGUAAUACGUAGGGUGCAAGCGUUAAUCGGAAUUACUGGGCGUAAAGCGUGCGCAGGCGGUUCGGAAAGAAAGAUGUGAAAUCCCAGAGCUUAACUUUGGAACUGCAUUUUUAACUACCGGGCUAGAGUGUGUCAGAGGGAGGUGGAAUUCCGCGUGUAGCAGUGAAAUGCGUAGAUAUGCGGAGGAACACCGAUGGCGAAGGCAGCCUCCUGGGAUAACACUGACGCUCAUGCACGAAAGCGUGGGGAGCAAACAGGAUUAGAUACCCUGGUAGUCCACGCCCUAAACGAUGUCAACUAGCUGUUGGGGUCUUCGGACCUUGGUAGCGCAGCUAACGCGUGAAGUUGACCGCCUGGGGAGUACGGUCGCAAGAUUAAAACUUAAAUGAAUU
Molecule: ribosomal RNA, 563 nt
Filed under: uncultured bacterium
Lineage: Bacteria
Description: partial 16S ribosomal RNA
Rfam family: Bacterial small subunit ribosomal RNA
Source: RNAcentral